RNAcentral lists this transfer-messenger RNA (387 nucleotides) under Chloroflexi bacterium CFX4. It matches the Rfam family "transfer-messenger RNA". Rfam says of the family: Bacterial tmRNA, also known as 10Sa RNA or SsrA, is named for its dual tRNA and mRNA-like properties. Its role is to liberate the mRNA from a stalled ribosome. RNAcentral also lists the same sequence under 2 other names. Lineage: Bacteria; Bacillati; Chloroflexota. The record is from RNAcentral.
GGGGAUGAAUUAGGCUCGACGGGGAAGGUUGAUCGCAUAUUGCAAGCCGAGGCGCACGCCCUCGUAAAAACGCGCACAACUGUAGCUGCGAACACUCGCACUGCACCGGCUCUCGCUCUCGCCGCCUAAUCGGCUGAGCCGAGCUAGCUAACCCGAGGGUUAGCCGUCUGUCUGCUUCAGGUUCGGUUGGAGCAGCCACAGGCGACACCAAGACCGAACUGCUGCGUUGUGACACCGAUAAACAGCGCUUAAGAUCAUCGGUUUGCUGCCCGUAAGACCCUGUUAGGUGGGGCUGCGGCGGUGAAAAAUAAGUAGCCUAACUACGCUUGUAGACGUAUGCAGGAGAGCUUUUUCGGACCCGACCUGCAAUGGUCGGCAUCUCCACUC